GGCUGAUGGAGCCUGUACCUCAGCGUUUGCUGCCCCAAGGCCUCUCCCAGGGAUAACAGGAUGGUAACAGGCCAGAGGCCUGGAUGCCUGGACUCACCCAGCCAGGAGGCCGGCCACACAGCAUGUGGUUAGGAGAGCUGAUUCGCUUAGAAACAAUGAACAGGACAGGGAACAGGAGUGAGUAGUCUCCUGGAGAGAAGAGGCUGAUUUUUUUUCCCUGAUCUUCCCAAGUGGAUAAGAGGGAUGUGUAUUCUGAAUCAGGAUGUAUUUUGGAGGCGGGGAAGGGAGUGAGGGGAGAAGAGAAGGAUAUUGCUAUUUAUUGCACUGUGUAUGGGCAUGCUUGUUGAGAGUUAAAAAAAUUAAUAAUCCACUUCUGCUUUGCACCUAAUUAAAAUGUUCUCCAGUCUUUAAUUUUUGUCGUUUUCCUAAUCUAGUUUAUUUUCUGACUGUGUCUAUUCUUCCGCUUG
RNAcentral lists this long non-coding RNA (467 nucleotides) under Bos taurus (domestic cattle). Its description in RNAcentral is "long non-coding RNA NONBTAT021668". Lineage: Eukaryota; Metazoa; Chordata; Mammalia; Artiodactyla; Bovidae. The record is from RNAcentral.